CUACGGGUUGCAGCAGUGGGGAAUAUUGCACAAUGGGGGGAACCCUGAUGCAGCAAUGCCGCGUGAAGGAAGACGGUCUUCGGAUUGUAAACUUCUAUCAAUGGUGAAGAAACAAAUGACGGUAGCCGAAUAAGAAGCCCCGGCUAACUAUGUGCCAGCAGCCGCGGUAAUACAUAGGGGGCGAGCGUUAUCCGGAAUUACUGGGUGUAAAGGGUGGGUAGGCGGCAUAAUAAGUCAGGUGUGAAAACCCGGGGCUCAACCCCGGGAUGCCACUUGAAACUAUUAAGCUAGAGUACAGGAGAGGUAAGCGGAAUUCCUAGUGUAGCGGUGAAAUGCGUAGAUAUUAGGAAGAACACCAGUGGCGAAGGCGGCUUACUGGACUGAAACUGACGCUGAGGCACGAAAGCGUGGAGAGCGAACAGGAUUAGAUACCCUUGUAGUC
Molecule: ribosomal RNA, 442 nt
Filed under: uncultured bacterium
Lineage: Bacteria
Description: partial 16S ribosomal RNA
Rfam family: Bacterial small subunit ribosomal RNA
Source: RNAcentral